CGGGGCGGCAAAACGUCCGCCCGGGCCCGAGGCGGGCGGAGGCAGCUGUGGUUACGUGCGGGGGGCCGGUGACGCAGUCGCGGGGCGCUGGGACGCGGCUUGCGGAGCCGGCCGGCGAGCGCAGGCCCCAGGCUCGGGCGCGGCGGCGGGACAGCACCUACCUUCCCGGCUUCGGGUCCGGGAGUGCGGGGCGCGGAGCCGCCGGAGCGCUGCCUCCCUCCUUCCUCCUCCCCUCGCCCCCGCCCCGCGGCGCGACACACAAUACUCGCCGGAAGCGGAAGCCGCGCCGAGGCUCGUGUCAGUGGAAGCUGGGGUGUCGGCGGGCGGCCGCGGCCGGGUCUAGUGGUGCCUGCGGAAGAAGGAGGAGGAGGGCUGGCGAUGAGAAGCAGCAGGGGGAAUCAAGGGCAAGAAGGGACCCAGAGGGGCAGGUGGCUGAGAUGCUGGCGUCCAGGUGACCCGAGGAAUCCUCUGGAGAUACAGGCCCGCGCAUGCGCGUGCUCGAGCGCUGAAGCCCAUUGCCCGCAGGGCGCUGGACUGGCGCCCCGGCCGGCGAGGCUGUCUAGUCCAGGCUCCAGGCCCCGGCUCUGGCCAGGCGCCGCCGCCUCCCGGUGCAGCUGAAAGUCGACGAAGAGGGCGGGGCGGGGGCGGCUUGUGGACUUCCACACUUUUCCUCUCUUCGGGCCAGUCUGGGGAGAGGGUGGCUAGCUGUGGCGGCGGCCAAUUACGUGGCGGACCUGCGGGGCUAAGCUGGCACGUCACUUCCGACUAGUGGAGUUUUUAGCCUUUUAACAUUCAAGGAUUAGGUAAAAGUCUUGCAGUGAAAAACCCGAGGACCCUUACCGCAAGUGUCUUUUGCUCCCAGCUACUGAUACUGGAUUCCACUCGUGAUUCUCCCUUUCUUAGCGCAUUCAUGAUAUAGACAUCAGUCUCUGAGCUGGAGGAGGACAAAGGCAGCGGUCCUGUGAAUUCUAUGCUCUAGCUUGGGUUAAGGGAUUUGGAAUUGCACUUGUUUCAGAGAGCUCCCUCUUUGCCCACUAGCAGGGCAUUAGCUGGUGCUGAAGACAGUGGCUGCUUGGCGAGCCUGGAUCUCCAAGUGACCCCCUCAGCAACUCCUGAUGAACAGGACUGAAGCCAAUAUUAAAGCAAGUCAACCAAAGGUUCUCUGGUGUAGACAAGACAGCAAAAGGACAGACUACCUUGUGGAACCUAGCAUUGUUCUCCUUCUGCAGCACUAAGUAACAUUUGUUCUCCGUUAAGAUCUUUGCAAACCACACACAAGAAUUGCUGGUCAUCCUGCCAAUAGAUGCUGCUCACAGAACCAAAUUUCCUGUGCUGAAUUGUCACUCAUGGGCUUGAGAGUAGGAGACUGGAGACCAAGGUGGCUAGAAUCCAGUUGGGCCUGAUGUCUCCCUGUUGAAAGGGCUCCUUGUGGAAUGAAUAGCACAUGGCUCCUGUGGUGGAUCUGAUAGUGGCAUAGCACCAAGUGAUGCAGGCCUGCCAGGGGCCACAGACACAGAAGAUGCUCCCGGGGUCCCCCAUGUACUCCAGACACACUGCAGGCCACCUCUCCCAGCAGGUUGCCAGUCAUGGGCCCCAUCAUCAUGACUUCUGUCCAAGGUACUGUGUGCAGAAAUGUGAUUGAGAUUCAAGUCAGGGCCUCUCUGCCCUUUUCCCUCCAGAAACAAAACCAAGAUAAUUUAUCCUGAACACGGUGAAAAAAGGAAGGGAGGGAGGAGAAAAAGUCCGGGUCUCACCUGGGAUUCUCUGUCUCCUGCAACAUGAAGGAUUUAGCCUGGGAGGAGGUGGUGAGAACUCUGGGAGAGAAAAAAGAAGGAAAGAAUAGUUUUACCCAUGCUGAAGUUAAUUUAAACCUUCACCUAGAGAAGCAAAAAAAAAAAACCCACACUUUCCCAUUUUGUGCCUCCCUUCCUAGAGUUUUAGCCAAAGGUUUAGCUAAGUAAUUGGUUUUACCAGCGCACUCACUCCUCCUAUCCCAAGUCUGUUUGACUCCCUCCCCAUCAUCCUCCUCACCUCUUUUCAGGCAGGGUGGGGAUAGCAGCAGGAGGAGAUUUUGGGAGCCUGGCAACUCCUGCAAGGACCGCAGGACAGCCCCUCUGUGGGGAUGCGUGGUGCCCCAUCUGCCGCCCUUCUGAAGAAUGCACUGCCUUCACUUUUUACUGUGUUAGAGUCCAUCCAGACUGUUCUAUCCAAAAAAGUUUCUUUUUCCCCCACAGGCAAUCAGGAAAUGAUUCCUUUCCCGACUGCUUCUGUCUAGUGCCUGGGAAUCUUGAGUCAAUCCCUCAGUAAGUCAGUGACUAGGGAAAUCCCUCUCUGAGCCUCCCAGUUCAUGUUGCUUAGGGAACCUGAUAUUUUCGUGAAACCUGCCUACACAUGGGCAGCCCAACAGCAGAACAAAUGGUGGUGACCAAAGUGAACAAAGAAGUAUAGUUGUGCCAGCUUCGUAGUUGCCCAUGUGGACAAGUCAGCAGGAUCAGGACACGAGGAAGAGUAAAUGUGAGACAGUCAAUGUGACUUCUGCGAUAAACAGAUUUUUAAACCCCGAAAUUUUGCAAAAUUUUGGUGAAACCUGAACUUUCUUCGUUGCAUAUACUGGCACUAUCUGUACCAUCAUACAACUGUCUCACAUUAAAGCUAUUUUUCUUGGGCACUGAUGAGUAAGGUUGGUAUAAGUUCCUCAGAUCAACAAAAACCCAUUUUCCUGUAAGUCUUACAUUUAGUAUUUAAGGAACUAAAACUUAAAUACAUUUUGUGAAAUGGUUGACACUUCACUGAUAAUGAUUUAUUGCUUGGAUUAAUAAAUUUUCCAAAAGUUGUCUUAUGUAGAAUAUGGUUUGCAACCAGCAGAACCAUUAAUCUAUACUGCAAUGAUAUGCACUAUGUAUAAUUGUUUAAAAGCCUCUACUUAAUGAUGUAAAAUGCUCUAUUUAAUUACACAUUUGGGUAAACUGUAUACUAACAUCUGAUGGCAUUUUUCCACUGUUUGUUGCUUUUUUCAAAUACUUUAUUGUACAAAGCUGUUCUUAAUAUUUUUCAAGUUUUUUUCUUUGAAUUUUGCUAAUGUUUUCCUUGAAUUAUGAGCACUGACAGAAUGUGCUUAGCACUUUUGGCUAUUCACACAGCUUUUGAGCAUGAUUUGCAUCCAAUAUUUACAUUGCUAGCAAUAAUAAGCCAUCUGUGAGUUUUGUCAAAAGUUAUUGGGGAUUUUUUAAAUUUUAGAAAUGCAAAUUAUUGUUUCUUUGAACUAACUCUUAUGCAGUUGCAAAGGCAUUUCCAGUUGUUAUAGUUUGUGUACAAUAUCAGGUGUUCCAGAUUAUGAUUCAUUAUUAAUAUCAUUGCUUCCUUGUUCCCUCUGAGGUCCAGAAGAUUCAUGUUUACAAUAUUUAGAAACAAUGUUAAAAAGGUAUCCAAAGUUUGUCACUUUAUUAUUAGUUUGUUCUUAAUAUUCUGUUUAAGUUUUUGAAUUCAUAGAUAUCAAAACGCUGCACAAUUAUGAUUUCCACAGGAAUAACAACACACUAACAAUAAGAACCAAAAACAGCAAAUAGGCUGCCUACAAGUUUUGACAAUAUUAGGAUAAUGAUAAUGACAGUUUUUCUAAAUCUCACAGUAAAGAAUGCAGCAACCCAGCAACACUGCUACCUGUGGCCUCAGGCUGCAGUGUCAGCUCUUCCCUGGGUCUCCAGCCUGCCAGUCUAACCUGAAAAUUAUGUACUUGCCAGCCCCCACAGUCACGUGAGUGAACUGGCCCAGGCUGGUCACCAGGGUCAGUUUCUCUGUGUGUCAUUAAUUCAUUCAGUCUUCAGCAGUCUCUUUGGAGCUGAGAUGUACCUACCAUCUGCCUUUUGGGUGCUUAGGGUGGAGAACCAGAAAAGUAUAACCUAGUGUGUAUCCUCAAAGAGCUAACAAUAUGGGGUGGUACCUAUAGGUCUGGAAACACUUUACUGACUCUGUGAGGCAUACCAGGAGACGUCAGAGAACAGUCCCUCCUCAAAUGCCAAAUGAGAUGCAGAAGAAAUAGUUUGCUCAAGUUCAUGGGCCAGAUAUCCCAGUGGUCAGGGAGUUUCAUGAAUGAGAUGGAACUUUGCAUGGAACCCGAGGGAUGUGUAUGAUUUGAGUAGAUGAAGAAUAUGAGACUUUCCAAGCAGCUAGAAGUUAGGGAGCAGCAAGAUGUGUGGUGGGAUUGAGCACAGUUGGUUCAGAGGAUAGACUGCAGUUUUAAUAAUUUGUAGUAAAUAUCUCCCAACUGUUUGGCACUAUUGGAGCAAGUUCUUGAAUGCCAAAUGAAGGCAUAAAUCAGUAAGAGGCAUAAUAAAAGGCUGAGCAGUGCUUGGCUUUUUACGAACUGAUCCUGAUAGGAGCAGCUGUUCAACAAAGUUGCCAGGUCACCGUUACAUAGUCCCUGCCUUCUAGGGGCUCACUGCCUACUGGGAGAGACAGUCUGAAAGUUGGUGGAGCAUGUAACUGUUGGAUGAGGAGUUUGAGCCUGUGGACUGUGGGACCCCCGAGGAGGGUGUGGCUACUCUAGGCAGAACAAUCCCACAGUUUAUUUAUAUUUAACCUUGAAAUUCAUUAGAGGAUUUUUCAGCAGAGGUUUGGUACUUGUUAAUGUUAAGGUUUGCAUUCUCUAGAACCUCAAGGAAAGCUGUACCGUGCAUAAUGUACCCUCUUAUGUUAAUGUUGUGUACUGUGAUCCUGUUUCAGGGACUUGCACUUAGGAAUCUGUUACAGUGAGCACAGAAGCAGACCUGUGGGCUCAUAGUCUUCACCCCCCACCCAUAUAUACAAGAUGAACAGAGUGGAGGUUAAACAACUUGACUAAACAACACAGUUCAUGGUAAAGCCCAAGACUGUACCUGCCCAUCCACUGCCUUUUCCAUGUAUCCUGGAACUGAGCAUAGACCUCUUCCCAGGCAGAGCUGACAGCAAGUAAAGGAGAUCAUAAUCAGGGGACCAAACAACUUUGUCUAAAGUGUGAAUGUCACCUAAGGAGAAGCUGUGAGAUCAGAAGGGUGGGGCAGAGGAGCAGACACCAUGAGAGAGAGUCCUUGGGGGUACAUCUGCCAGACUGACACUGUCUGGCCUGGGCAGUGGAGGGGCUAGCAGGAACCACAGGUACUGGUGGUGUGGCUACUACCGUUACAACUGCCUGUGCUUGGACAUGGACCCUCUGCAAUAUGCGGCAGUUUCAUUCAUUGCCCCCUACAUUCUACACCAAGUAGAAAUGGAAGGCAAUUGGAUACUUCACAGACAAGAUCUAAGUGGAGAAGGAAUGCGUCCUGUGGCUGCAGAGAUCCUUGGAGCUUGGAGGGGAGAGCUUGAGCCCCACUGAUGAUGACCUCCCACAGCUCGCCAACUCAGCCCUCCCUAAGUCCCCAUCGGGGGCCAAUUCUCACUCUGGGGUUGGGGGGACUCCACCAUAGCUCAUCCAUCAUAGGGAUGUUGGUAUCUACUGUGGGUUGGGUAGGGCCGAUGUGCUGAGGAUGGCUCCCCCACAAGCAAGAGAUGUGGAUUUGGGGAGCUUCCCAUCUUGUGUUGAAGGAACAUAACUCAGAAUAAUAAGAGCCAACUAUAACAAACCCACAGCCAACAUCAUACUGAAUGGGCAAAAGCUGCAGGCAUUCCCCUUGAAAAGUGGCACAGGAUAAGGAAGCCCUUUCUCACCACUCCUAUUCAAUAUAGUGUUGAAAGUCCUGAUCACAGCAGUCAGGCAACAGAAAUAAUAAAGGGCAUCCAAAUAGGAAGAGAGGAAGUCAAACUAUCCUUGUUUGCAGACAGUAUGAUUCUAUAUCUAGAAAACCCCAUAGCCUCAGCCCAAAAGGUCCUUCAUCUGAUAAUUUCAGCAAAGUUUCAGGAGACAAAAUCAGUGUACAAAAAUCACUAACAUUCCUAUACACAGUCGCCAAGCCAAGAGCCAAAUCAGGAGCACAAUCCCAUUCAUAAUUGCCACAAAAAAGAAUAAAAUACCCAGGAAUGCAGCUAACCAAGGAAGUAAAGGAUCUCUACAAUGAGAAUCACAAACGCUGCUCAAAGAAAUCAGAGAUGACACAAACAAAUGGAAAAACUUUCCAUGCUCAUGGCUAGGAAGAAUCAAUAUCAUUAAAGUGGCCAUACUACCCAAAGCAAUUUAUAGAUUCAAUGCUAUUCCUAUCAAACUAUCAAUUACAUUUUUCACAGAACUAGAAAAAACUUAAAAUUCAUAUGGAACCAAAAAGCCUGAGUAGUCAAGGCAAUCCUAAACAAAAAGAACAAAGGUGGAGGCAUCACAUUACCUAACUUCAAACUACAGGGCUACCAUGACCAAAACAGCAUGGUACUGGUACAAAAGCAGACACACAGACCAGUGGGACAGAAUAGAGAGCCCAAAAAUAAGGCCACAAACCUACAGCCAUCUGAUCUUCAACAAAGUUGACAAAAACAAGCAAUGGGGAAAGGUCUCCCUAUUCAAUAAAUGGUGCUGGGAUAACUGGCUGGCCAUAUGCAGAAGAUCGUAACUGGACCCCUUUUACUAUGUACAAAAAUUAAGAUGGUUUAAAGAGUUAAAACCCAAAAUUAUAAAAAUCCUGAAGAUAACUUAGGCAAUACCAUUCUGGACAUAGGAACUGGCAAAUAUUUCAUGAUGAAGACACCAAAAGCAAUUGUAACAAAAGCAAAAAUGGACAAAUUGGAUUUAAGAGCUUUUUCAUAGCAAAAUAAACAACAGGGCAGACAAUCUACCAAAUGACAGAAAAUUUUUGCAAACUAUGCAUCUGACAAGGGGCUAAUAUCUAGCAUCUAUAAGGAAUUUAAACACAGUUACAGG
Molecule: long non-coding RNA, 6820 nt
Filed under: Homo sapiens (human)
Lineage: Eukaryota; Metazoa; Chordata; Mammalia; Primates; Hominidae
Description: long non-coding RNA NONHSAT117951.2
Source: RNAcentral